UUGAACGCUGGCGGCAUGCCUUACACCUGCAAGUCGCACGGUAACGGGCCUUCGGGUGCCGACGAGUGGCGAACGGGUGAGUAAUACAUCGGAACGUGCCCGAUCGUGGGGGAUAACGAGGCGAAAGCUUUGCUAAUACCGCAUACGAUCUACGGAUGAAAGCAGGGGACCGCAAGGCCUUGCGCGGACGGAGCGGCCGAUGGCAGAUUAGGUAGUUGGUGGGAUAAAAGCUUACCAAGCCGACGAUCUGUAGCUGGUCUGAGAGGAUGAUCAGCCACACUGGGACUGAGACACGGCCCAGACUCCUACGGGAGGCAGCAGUGGGGAAUUUUGGACAAUGGGCGCAAGCCUGAUCCAGCCAUGCCGCGUGCAGGAUGAAGGCCUUCGGGUUGUAAACUGCUUUUGUACGGAACGAAAAGCCUUCUUUUAAUACAGGAGGGUCAUGACGGUACCGUAAGAAUAAGCACCGGCUAACUACGUG
RNAcentral lists this ribosomal RNA (481 nucleotides) under uncultured bacterium. Its description in RNAcentral is "partial 16S ribosomal RNA". It matches the Rfam family "Bacterial small subunit ribosomal RNA", at positions 30 to 507 of the family's 1533-position model. The record is from RNAcentral.